Molecule: ribosomal RNA, 432 nt
Filed under: Triticum aestivum (bread wheat)
Lineage: Eukaryota; Viridiplantae; Streptophyta; Magnoliopsida; Poales; Poaceae
Description: partial small subunit ribosomal RNA
Source: RNAcentral
AUGGGUGGCGAGAGAGGUAGUGGUUUGGUUCCUCGACACGGCAAGAGGCCAGAUCUGCAACGAGCAAGCCCCCCGCUGUUCAUCAGUACUUCUCGUCUCCCCCUCUGUUUGUCAUCUUAUCUUACGUGCGGGGUUAGGUGGGUGCUCGAGCUCGACGGUUGCGAGGCCACCACUUUCGUCGUCUUUGCUCGUCUCGUCCCCGUCUCCAUCUCAUCAUGGAUCCAGCCUGUAAAUCAUUUUGGCUCCGGGACUAAAAAUAGAGGCGUCACGGAGAAGGAGCCAAGGAGGAUCAACAGAAUAAAGCUCGGCUCUUUUUGUGUUUUGUGCCGGGCUGUUGGCUGGAGAUCUAGCGGUAUUUGGGUUGGUUUUCCGGUGGAAGCAACACGACAGCAAUACCUGCGUCCGGAGAACUACAUUUUCAACAGCACAUAG